This is a non-coding RNA of Cladorrhinum sp. PSN332, 122 nucleotides long. The record is from the annotation of a GenBank genome assembly. Lineage: Eukaryota; Fungi; Ascomycota; Sordariomycetes; Sordariales; Podosporaceae.
GGCCGUGUGGCGCAACGGUAGCGCGUUACUUUCCGGUUGUCUGUCUCCUGCUCGUUCUGAGCGGGAUAAAACAAGGUUCCUUCAGUUGGUAAAGGCUCUGGGUUCGAGUCCCAGCAUGGUCG